This 595-nucleotide ribosomal RNA is filed under the name Exserohilum rostratum. RNAcentral's name for it is "eukaryotic LSU rRNA". It matches the Rfam family "Eukaryotic large subunit ribosomal RNA", at positions 46 to 656 of the family's 3401-position model. The record is from RNAcentral. Lineage: Eukaryota; Fungi; Ascomycota; Dothideomycetes; Pleosporales; Pleosporaceae.
AUAAGCGGAGGAAAAGAAACCAACAGGGAUUGCCCUAGUAACGGCGAGUGAAGCGGCAACAGCUCAAAUUUGAAAUCUGGCUCUUUCAGAGUCCGAGUUGUAAUUUGCAGAGGGCGCUUUGGCUUUGGCAGCGGUCCAAGUUCCUUGGAACAGGACGUCACAGAGGGUGAGAAUCCCGUACGUGGUCGCUAGCUAUUGCCGUGUAAAGCCCCUUCGACGAGUCGAGUUGUUUGGGAAUGCAGCUCUAAAUGGGAGGUAAAUUUCUUCUAAAGCUAAAUAUUGGCCAGAGACCGAUAGCGCACAAGUAGAGUGAUCGAAAGAUGAAAAGCACUUUGGAAAGAGAGUCAAACAGCACGUGAAAUUGUUGAAAGGGAAGCGCUUGCAGCCAGACUUGCUUGCAGUUGCUCAUCCGGGCUUUUGCCCGGUGCACUCUUCUGCAGGCAGGCCAGCAUCAGUUUGGGCGGUGGGAUAAAGGUCUCUGUCAUGUACCUCUCUUCGGGGAGGCCUUAUAGGGGAGGCGACAUACCACCAGCCUAGACUGAGGUCCGCGCAUCUGCUAGGAUGCUGGCGUAAUGGCUGUAAGCGGCCCGUCUUG